UGGGGAAUAUUGCACAAUGGGCGCAAGCCUGAUGCAGCCAUGCCGCGUGUAUGAAGAAGGCCUUCGGGUUGUAAAGUACUUUCAGUCGGGAGGAAGGUGUCAAGGUUAAUAACCUUGUCGAUUGACGUUACCGACAGAAGAAGCACCGGCUAACUCCGUGCCAGCAGCCGCGGUAAUACGGAGGGUGCAAGCGUUAAUCGGAAUUACUGGGCGUAAAGCGCACGCAGGCGGUUGAUUGAGUCAGAUGUGAAAUCCCCGGGCUUAACCCGGGAAUUGCAUCUGAUACUGGUCAGCUAGAGUCUUGUAGAGGGGGGUAGAAUUCCAUGUGUAGCGGUGAAAUGCGUAGAGAUGUGGAGGAAUACCGGUGGCGAAGGCGGCCCCCUGGACAAAGACUGACGCUCAGGUGCGAAAGCGUGGGGAGCAAACAGG
This 429-nucleotide ribosomal RNA is filed under the name Chloroflexota bacterium. RNAcentral's name for it is "Chloroflexi bacterium partial 16S ribosomal RNA". It matches the Rfam family "Bacterial small subunit ribosomal RNA", at positions 355 to 776 of the family's 1533-position model. The record is from RNAcentral. Lineage: Bacteria; Bacillati; Chloroflexota.